CCUACGGGAGGCAGCAGUCGAGAAUCAUUCACAAUGGGGGCAACCCUGAUGGUGCGACGCCGCGUGGGGGAAUGAAGGUCUUCGGAUUGUAAACCCCUGUCAUGUGGGAGCAAAUUAAAAAGAUAGUACCACAAGACGAAGAGACGGCUAACUCUGUGCCAGCAGCCGCGGUAAUACAGAGGUCCCAAGCGUUGUUCGGAAUCAGUGGUCUUAAGGCGUGCGUAGGCUGUUUCGUAAGUCAUGUGUGAAAGGCGCGGGCUCAACCAGAGGACGGCACAUGAAAAUGGGAGACUAGAGUAAUGGAGGGGGAAGCGGAAUGCUCGGUGUAGCAGUGAAAUGCGUAGAUAUCGAGAGGAACACUCGUGGCGAAGGCGGGUUCCUAGACAUUAACUGACGCUGAGGCACGAAGGCCAGGGGAGCGAAAGGGAUUAGAUACCCGAGUAGUC
Molecule: ribosomal RNA, 446 nt
Filed under: uncultured bacterium
Lineage: Bacteria
Description: partial 16S ribosomal RNA
Rfam family: Bacterial small subunit ribosomal RNA
Source: RNAcentral